GACACCGUCGUCACACGAAACGGACGGUCACGCUCCCGACCUCCUCCUUGCCCCGUCUCUCGUUACUCGCCACGUGUCCUGAAACGUCGCGUGCCCGCGGCGACAUCGCUUUCUCCCCGACCGAGCGUCGUGAUCCGCCCCCGAGCAUUCGGUUACAUCUGACGGAAAUCGUCGCCCCCUGGCUUCUACACGUGGCGCUUCUCAUUCCCGGAGAGAGGGCGCCAAAACCUCCUCUGCCUCUGCUCUCACAUCUCUUGUUGCUCAUUUGAACCCUCUCGAUUUCUUUCUCUUGUCUCUGCCCUUUUUCUCUCUGGAGCCGAUCUCGGUCGCUAAUGGCUGUCGUUGUUUCCGAAGGGAAGCUCUCAGAGCUCCGCUCUGUGGUUGCUGGUCUCGAUCAGAUCAGUGAAGCGAUUCUUGGCAUGGGAUUUUUUUUUUUUUCCCGUUCUUGAUCCGUUUUUCGUGCCGGAAUGCAUUUUUGGGCAGGAAGAUCUCGGAUCUGAUACGGGUUCUUGAUCAUAUCUUGUUCUUGGUAGUGAAAACGAGAAAUCUGGGUUCAUCAAUCUCGACUCUCGCUAUUUGAGUGGAGAGGCGCCGCAGAUCGAGAGGAGUAAGAUCCAGACUCCCAACUGAUGAGGUUGUUGUGCCUUAUGAGACCCUAGCGCCACCUCCUGAAGCAACUAAGAAACUUCUUGACAAGCUGGUUGUGUUGAAGCUUAACGGUGGUCUGGGGACGACAAUGGGCUGUACAGGUCCCAAGUGAUUGAAAUAUCAAUCUCUGCAGAGUCUCUGAACAGGAAAUAUGGUUGCAAUGUCUCUCUUCUUUUAAUGAACUCAUUCAAUAAUCAUGAAGAUACAUUAAAGGUGAGUGUUCUAUACUUUCUGUUUACUAGACAUUCAAAUUGACUUGGCAGUACUAUGACUGACUAACCAUCUGGAAAUUCUUAUGGAUAGACCGUGGAGAAAUAUUCCAAUUCAAACAUUGAAAUUCAUACCUUCAAUCAGAUUGGAGAAUCGAACAUUUAAAAAAUUAAUCUAUAUCCUUAAGUCAUUCUGGAAAGGCAUAGUGACUAAAGAAAUUUUAAGAGGUUUUUUGAGGUUAAAUGGAAGAUUGUAUUAUUUAUUCCAUAUUGAUCUGAUGUCACGCCUCUGACUCGAGAUCGCAAGCCGAGAGUUGCGGCAACCACGGCAUAUUCAUAGGAAACUCUUCCCAUAAGCAUGCAAGACAUUUCAACAUGAUAUCAUAAAUAUGCAAUAAAACAAUUUAACUAAUAAUAUGCAAUAUUUUUUUCAUUAACCAACUCAGCUUACAAUAUCUCACAAUUCUAAUAUUAGUCUAAGGUAAUACACAAUUUAAAUAAACUCUAAUCUAAAAUAACUUGUACCACAGUUCUUCUAAUCGCUCUUCUAUAUUGAAUAACCUUAGUAGGCUAUUUCUCUGUAUCUAUAAAAAAAAAGAAAUUGUAUAAUAAGCUAGAUAGCCCAGUAAGCAAUAAACACUUUAGCUAAAUAAAACAAUCAAUAAAACAAUAAUAAUAUACUGAAAUUAAGCAUGCAAAUUAAAUCGAUUCAAAGCCAAAUCGAUAUGCUAUCCAGUCACUUUAAAUUUCAAAUCUUGUUUCAUAAAUCAAGUAUCUUUCAAAUCAUCAAGUUCAUUUCGACAACCAUAAGCUAUGACCACAUUUAUACAUUAUGGUUGGGUCAGAAUAUGAGCUCAUCGAAGUGCCAACGAAUAACCCCCCACUGGCUGGGUGUUAAUAUGCCAACAUAUAACCCCAAUUGGCAGAGUUUCGAUAUGCCAACGUAUAACCCCUGUUGGUAGGGUGUCGAUAUGCCAAUGUAUAACACUCGCUGGCAGAGUGUUGAUAUGCCAGUGAAUAACCCCCACUGGCAGGAUGUCGAUAUAUCAGUAAAUAACCUUCCACUAGCAGGGUAUCGAUAUACCAGCGAAUAACCUCCACUAGCAGGGUAUCGAUACAUAGCCUUGCUGCGAGUUCAAAUUCAUUUUGAAGCAAAAACUCGUUUUCUCAUAUUUAGUGUUCUAAAUUGUAAGAUACAUAAAUUCAUACAAUAUCUAAAUCAAUCGAACAUAAUCCAUAUUGAAAUCAAAAGAUACAAUGAAAAAUUAUAUAGUAUUGUAGAAAGAGGCGCAUAUAAUAAUAAAAUACUAUGCAUCAGCUUCAUAAAUUAAGAAUGAUUCAAUUAGAAAAAUCUAUAAUUUGCCAAUAGAUCUAGAGAAAAAAGUACAUUACUUACCUUGCGAACGCAAUCCAACUAACAGAUUCAAUUAAUUCCAAAAUUUCUUCUCAGAGUCUAAUAUCUAAAAAUUAUAUUUUUUAUUAAAAUUUCAUCAUAAUUAUUUUUUAAAAAUAGAAAUCUUAAAUUUCAACAUUCUCAUAGAGCUGACCAAGUAGAAGUGCCCGACAUUUUGGUUGGUCCGGUCAAAGUGAAAUUUAUCGAAUUAUGCUCGGACUAAGGUACAAAUGGUUCAACAAAGAUCGAGACGAUCAAAUCUAAUAGUAUUUAGCAAGGAUCAAGGUUGACCCAGAAUCAUGAAGAGAAGUACCUUGCUGGUCUAUCAUCUCUAGAGAGAGUAGAGAAAAAGUAUAGAGAAUAGAGAGAAUCUUAGUUUGGGUUCAAUCGGAUGUCUGAGUUUGGUUGUCAAUGGAACGGGUCAACCUAUAUCAAUCAAUAUGUCUGUUCAUAAGUCAAGGGAGAGAAACUUUGUAGAGAGAGAUAAGAGAAAAGAAGAGAGGAGAGAGAGAAAGAGAAAGAGGAGAGAAAAAGAAGAGAGAGAUUCUUCUUUUUCACCGAAAGAGGGGGGAGUUCAUCUCACCCUUUCUUUUGCGAUCAGAUCUAAGGGGCAGCCAUGGUGGCCAACCCCGAUAUCGACAGGAGGUGGCAAGGCUGGCUCAACGAACUUCGGCGGCUGAUGGGUUUUGUUGAAACAAAAGUCAAGGAAAACAAGUGUUGUAGGGUUGCUAAGAAAUUCUGGAAGGAUUGUAGCUAUCUUUUCAAUUAUAGUAGCAGCCCGAGAGGUAGAUCUGGAUAGAGUUUCGCUCAUAAAGGAAGAGUAGCGCGCUAGCGCGGCUCGCUUCUCUUUUCGACGCUCCGCUCGCAGCUGUCGAAGUCUGCUGAAAAACGGAAGAGCGUGCUAACGCACUACGGCUUUUCAGCCUCCGUUUGCUGGUUCCGAACUAUCACUGAUCUCUGUAUUCCCGGGAGGGAUAUCAGAUAGAGUCAAAUGGUUGUAUUAAAAAGGAAAUUAGCAAGUUUUUUCUCCAUUUGAGGGAUAUCAAGUUCAGGUUUUUUGGAUACUAAUACCGCUACCAUCAAGGCUAAUUUAGGGCCCUAGACCUGGUGGGGAACAAUUUUAGCUAAAAGAAUCCUAAUCCAUCAGUGACGUAGAUAAAUGGGUCAUUAGAAGGAUCCUUUCAAAACAACUUAAGUAUUAGGUGAUACACAUUUAGAGAUUAUAAAAUGAUAAAAGUCAUGCAGUAAAAAGUUGGAAGACUAGUGCCAGCAUCCUUGCCUCUUCUAGCAUCCCUUAGUGUUGAUCCACCAGCGGCUUCACUCUAAAGCAAAGGCAGGAGCACUAUCAGAAGCAUACCUUCCAUAUCGACAUGUCCUUCCAUUGGAAUAGGAGCUACCCUACUCCCCCCAAAAAAUGCUAAAACGGGGGCGUGACGGCUGCGGUAGGAUCAGCCAGAGAUCAGUUUACUACUUUAAUCUAGUACACACAAAAACUUGGAUUUUUUCCUUUUUUUUUCUUUUCUAUCCAAAUCAAAUUCAAGGUUGGCUAAUAAAAUAGGAGAGAGAGAAAAGGAGAAGAAGAAGACUUAUCUUGGUUCGGCGAGGUGGUCCGGCAACGAAUCGAGAAAGAUUGGAGGUGGAGCUUGGGAUUGGUAGCUCAAACUUGGGUGAAGUCAAAGGAGAAAGAAGAGCAUCUUUAAACAACUGAUCUCAGCCUUAUUCGGCCGGUCUCUGGAUUGCGAUAAACUUUCAAUCUCAUUACGACUGAGGAAGAAGACUCCGGCUCGAGCCGUGCUCCCAUUUGCCCUCAUGUGUGUCACACAUGCAAUUGGCUCAAAUGUGGCAAGGCCGGUCAUGGACUGGGCCCAAUCCACUGGUUUCACAUUUGAUCCACACGAUGAAGGGCCAAUAUCCUUGUCUAGUUGUUGAAGAUUUCAUGCCUUUGCCAUGCAGGAAAGGAUGGCUGAUAUGUUGUGUUUAGCAUUUUUUUCCCCAACAGGAUGAUAUUACCAUGUAUCGGGCAUAAUUCGAAUAACAGCCAUAUGUUGUUUGUGGAAGGAUCUUUUUGAUGAAGAUAAAUACGAUAAAAGGGUUGGUACAAUUAAUAUUACCCGGAUAGAAUUGCGUUGGAUGCCAUCUAAUUUAGUGCUCUUUGCCUGUUGCAGACAUAUAAUAAUAGGAGAUAUAUGGAUUUGCCUAUUUAUGCUGAACUUAAAUAGCUGGACAGUUCUGUAAGCGAACAUUUUAAUCCUGCCAAUUUUCCCAGCUUCUAUUUUAUUUUAUUAGAGUAAGUUAAAGAAAAUUCUGAUUUACCGUUUCGUUUACAAAUUGAAUAGAGUUGCUUGUUUGAAAGCGAGAAGGGUAUUUGUUGGGAGAGGAUGUCACCAUUCCAUUAGCCAUUGGCCUUCGUCUUGCUGCUUAUCAUUUUUUUUUAAUUGGCAUUUACAUAGAUGUUUUAAGUGGCUUGCUCCCAACAAGAAAGCAUUGUUUGUUCGUUUGUGUUUGGAUUGGUCCAAAAGGUGGUGAUACAAAUUAGGACAUAAAAAGGUUAAUCUAUUAGCUGUAUUCUGGAAUGUUAUAUCAAUUUAUUUGUUAGACAUCCACUAA
Long non-coding RNA from Phoenix dactylifera (date palm), 4857 nucleotides. RefSeq lists it as uncharacterized. The record is from RefSeq and is a predicted model, not a curated record. NCBI's taxonomy places the organism in Eukaryota, Viridiplantae, Streptophyta, Magnoliopsida, Arecales, Arecaceae.